UACGUAGGCAGCGAGCGUUGUUCGGAGUUACUGGGCGUAAAGAGUGCGUAGGCGGUUUUCUAAGUUUGGUGUGAAAUCUCCCGCUUAACUGGGAGGGUGCGCCGAAGACUGGAAGGCUUGAGUAUGGGAGAGGUAAGCGGAAUUCCUGGUGUAGCGGUGAAAUGCGUAGAUAUUAGGAGGAACACCAGUGGCGAAGGCGGCUUACUGGACUGUAACUGACGUUGAGG
Molecule: ribosomal RNA, 227 nt
Filed under: uncultured bacterium
Lineage: Bacteria
Description: partial 16S ribosomal RNA
Rfam family: Bacterial small subunit ribosomal RNA
Source: RNAcentral